This 21-nucleotide non-coding RNA is filed under the name Caenorhabditis elegans. Lineage: Eukaryota; Metazoa; Nematoda; Chromadorea; Rhabditida; Rhabditidae. The record is from RNAcentral.
UACUUCGUGGCUAACUAUCGU